UCCGUAGGUGGUAUAUUAAGUCAGAGGUGAAAUCCCACAGCUCAACUGUGGAACUGCCUUUGAUACUGGUUGUCUUGAGUUACAGUGAAGUAGAUAGAAUAUGUAGUGUAGCGGUGAAAUGCAUAGAUAUUACAUAGAAUACCGAUUGCGAAGGCAGUCUACUAACUGUAUACUGACGCUAAUGGACGAAAGCGUGGGGAGCGAACAGGAUUAGAUACCCUGGUAGUCC
This 229-nucleotide ribosomal RNA is filed under the name uncultured bacterium. RNAcentral's name for it is "partial 16S ribosomal RNA". It matches the Rfam family "Bacterial small subunit ribosomal RNA", at positions 568 to 796 of the family's 1533-position model. The record is from RNAcentral.